UAAGCAUAUCAAUAAGCGGAGGAAAAGAAACCAACAGGGAUUGCCUCAGUAACGGCGAGUGAAGCGGCAACAGCUCAAAUUUGAAAUCUGGCCCCAGGCCCGAGUUGUAAUUUGCAGAGGAUGUUUCUGGCGAGGUGCCUUCCGAGUGCCCUGGAACGGGACGCCAUAGAGGGUGAGAGCCCCGUACGGUUGGUCGCUAAGCCUCUGUGAAACUCCUUCGACGAGUCGAGUAGUUUGGGAAUGCUGCUCUAAAUGGGAGGUAUACGUCUUCUAAAGCUAAAUACCGGCCAGAGACCGAUAGCGCACAAGUAGAGUGAUCGAAAGAUGAAAAGCACUUUGAAAAGAGGGUUAAAUAGUACGUGAAAUUGUUGAAAGGGAAGCGCUCAUGACCAGACUUGGGCCGGUUGAUCAUCCGCCGUUCUCGGCGGUGCACUCUGCCGGCUCAGGCCAGCAUCAGUUUGGUCCGGGGGAUAAAGGCGUAGGGAAUGUGGCUCCCCCCGGGGAGUGUUAUAGCCCUGCGCGUAAUACCCUGGGCUGGACUGAGGUUCGCGCAUCUGCAAGGAUGCUGGCGUAAUGGUUAUCAGUGACCCGUCUUGAAACACGGACCAAGGAGUCGUCUUCGUAUGCGAGUGUUCGGGUGUCAAACCCCUACGCGUAAUGAAAGUGAACGUAGGAGAGAGCUUCGGCGCAUCUCCGACCGAUCCUGAUGUUCUCGGAUGGAUUUGAGUAAGAGCAUACGGGGCCGGACCCGAAAGAAGGUGAACUAUGCCUGUAUAGGGUGAAGCCAGAGGAAACUCUGGUGGAGGCUCGCAGCGGUUCUGACGUGCAAAUCGAUCGUCAAAUAUGGGCAUGGGGGCGAAAGACUAA
Molecule: ribosomal RNA, 867 nt
Filed under: Hydropisphaera aurantiaca
Lineage: Eukaryota; Fungi; Ascomycota; Sordariomycetes; Hypocreales; Bionectriaceae
Description: LSU rRNA
Rfam family: Eukaryotic large subunit ribosomal RNA
Source: RNAcentral